RNAcentral lists this ribosomal RNA (305 nucleotides) under uncultured bacterium. RNAcentral describes it as "bacterial SSU rRNA". It matches the Rfam family "Bacterial small subunit ribosomal RNA", at positions 336 to 655 of the family's 1533-position model. The record is from RNAcentral.
UUCCUACGGGACGCAGCAGUGGGGAAUAUUGGGCAAUGGGCGCAAGCCUGACCCAGCAACGCCGCGUGAAGGAAGAAGGCUUUCGGGUUGUAAACUUCUUUUAUCAGGGACGAAGCAAGUGACGGUACCUGAUGAAUAAGCCACGGCUAACUACAUGCCAGCAGCCGCGGUAAUACGUAGGUGACAAGCGUUGUCCGGAUUUACUGGGUGUAAAGGGCGUGUAGCCGGGCUGACAAGUCAGAUGUGAAAUCCGGGGGCUCAACCCCCGAACUGCAUUUGAAACUGUUGGUCUUGAGUAUCGGAGG